RNAcentral lists this ribosomal RNA (333 nucleotides) under Triticum aestivum (bread wheat). Its description in RNAcentral is "partial small subunit ribosomal RNA". Lineage: Eukaryota; Viridiplantae; Streptophyta; Magnoliopsida; Poales; Poaceae. The record is from RNAcentral.
AUGGAAAAUGAAUCAAUUCAUGUAAGCUUAGGGUGGCUGUGUUCAUCACCAAAAGGGGACAUAAAUCCCAAGUUCAGAUGCAUGGAUCUUCACUCACAUCAACACAACAGAGGAAUAGAAAAGAAAGAAGAAGACUGUAUAAUAGAUGAGGAAAAUUUAUGUAUUUGUAGCAUAGCGAAAGAGGGCUCAGUUUUGUCUUUGAUCUUCAAGCCCAACACUCACAUCUCUUGCUGCAUAACAUACCCAUCGCAAUGUAGACGAACUGCCCAGCUGGUUAUACUCGUCAGAAUGACCAUCCGAGGUGCAGAACAUCCAACAUCACCGACGAGUUGA